UGGGUGACCUGCCCUCAGCUCUGGGAUAAGCCUGGGAAACUGGGUCUAAUACCGGAUAGGACUGCAUGCUGCAUGGUGUGUGGUGGGAAGUUUUUCGGCUGGGGAUGGGCCCGCGGCCUAUCAGCUUGUUGGUGGGGUGAUGGCUUACCAAGGCGACGACGGGUAGCCGGCCUGAGAGGGCGACCGGCCACACUGGGACUGAGACACGGCCCAGACUCCUACGGGA
RNAcentral lists this ribosomal RNA (226 nucleotides) under uncultured bacterium. Its description in RNAcentral is "partial 16S ribosomal RNA". It matches the Rfam family "Bacterial small subunit ribosomal RNA", at positions 118 to 346 of the family's 1533-position model. The record is from RNAcentral.